This is a long non-coding RNA of Mercenaria mercenaria, 3768 nucleotides long. RefSeq lists it as uncharacterized. NCBI's taxonomy places the organism in Eukaryota, Metazoa, Mollusca, Bivalvia, Venerida, Veneridae. The record is from RefSeq and is a predicted model, not a curated record. The transcript has 3 exons.
AAAUAGCGCAUAUCACUUCGGCAGAUAUCGGACGAUGUCGGUAUUUUCCGGAAUUUUCAUUCAGGAACUUAGUUUUAUUUUAUUUUUUACAUUUUUGAAUAUCAUUUAAUAAAACCAUUAAUAAAAAGACAAAUACAUAAAGAAUUUUUACCAAUAGUUUUCUAUUAUCAAAAAAUUACGGAGUUCUCGUCUACUCUCUUACAACGAGAUCCAAUGGCGGCGCCCAUGAAAAAACAUUGCGAAUGCCGAUUUAAAAAAAUAAACAAUGAUAAACGUUUCACAUUAGAAUUAACAGUCUAUCGAGUGAUCAUAUGGUACGAUGGGCGCCAAAAAAUUAUCAUCUAUUGUGCUAACAAGACCUGUCGGCUCUGAAUAUGCUGUGAAUAGCCCAAAACAUCCGGGUUGACGUCAUUUCGACAUGUACAAUGAUCAGAUGAUAUAGAAAAAGUAGGCAUCGAAAACAACGAUUGUCCACAAAACGCUUGAUUUAGCAAUGGUCUGUGUUGAUGUUAUUUUCUCUGAAAGCAAACUGUCUGUAAUCUGCAGCCAUUCAGCUACUGUUCCAGAAACUUGAAGGCGUAAAAAGUGAGCUGCCAUUACCACAGUACCUCAGAUAUGUAGGAACCAUGACAUUCGGGCAUUUCUGUUCUGUUGAAAUAAUACUUGAGCUGGAACCAUGACAUGAAAGAAGACCUUAGGAAAUAUAUGCAAGUGGAGAUUGAGACAUUAAAUUUGAAAAAUGAAAAGACUUAUGAAGCAAAUAGCAAGUUCUGAAUGCUUCAAACUAACUGUUAGUAGACUUUGGAUGACUUACUGCAAACGUAGUGCAAAAAAGACUCAGAUACAAAUGUAUCAUAACAAUGCUUACAUGCCAAACUUCCAGGGCAUCUAUACAGGAGAAUUCAGUUGAAAGUCCAGGAGAUUUCAGAAUUUACAUUGUACCUAGUUUAAUAGUAUAAUUAAAAAGAUAGUUCUGAAUUCUUUUUGGUAAAUCUGAUUCAUUUUUAAAUCUACAAGGUAUUGUCAUCAUUUUUUGAUCUUUGUCAGCUUUGGUCUUGGUUAACAUUUUUGCUUAUGUUCCUCUUUUCUUGGAAACUAUAAGAAAUAUAGCUUUGAAACUUAGUUCACCUGUUUAUCAUCAUUAGAUAGCCAAGAGUCAUAAUUCCCACUUCUGUCACUUUUUGGCAGAAUUAUGACCCCUUGUGUACCUAGAAAAUUGGAAUUUCUUGGUUAAAUAUUUGGUUAAAUUAAAUGUUUCAUACUUUAAGAGCUAUAGCUUGAAACUUUAAAUGCUUGUUUAUCAUCAUUAGUUGACUAAAUAGGUCAUGAACCAUAACUAUUGCUUGUAUUCUGUCAGAAUAUGGGCUUUUUAAAUUUGUAUUUCUUGGUCAAUUUUUUGUUUAGCUCGACUGUUUGAAGAAUAGAUAGAGCUAUCCUACUCAUCACGGCGUCAGCGUCGGCGUCACACCUUGGUUGAUUUUUUCGUACCAUUUCACAUAUUGACAAAACUUUUUGAGGUAAUGCUUUAAAACUUUCAACACUUGUGUACCAUCACCGUGUCAAGUUCUAGGCAAGAAUACUUAACUCCAUCAAGGAUUUUGGCUGAAUUAUGGUCCCUUUUAACUUACAAAUCUGGGUUAAGUUUUCAUACCAGUUCAUAUAUUGUGCAGACUGUUUGAUAUGUGGCUUUGGAACGUUUAUACCACUUGUUUAUUUUAUCUGUAGGCCUGGCAAGAGUACAUAACUCUGUCAAGUAUUUUGGCUGAUUUAUGGUCUUUUUGGACUUGAAAAUUGGUUCAGUUUUUGUACAAGUCCAUGUUUUGUCAAAACUUAUGACAUGUGGCUUUGAAACUUUGAACACUUGCUUAUUAUCAUAAUUUCCAUCUGUAGGCAAGAGAACAUAACUCUGUCAACUAUUUUGGCUGAAUUAUGGCCUUUUUUGGACUUGGAAAUGGUGAAGUUUUCGUACAAGUCAACGUUGUGUCAAAAUUGUUUGACAUGUGGCUUUGAAACUUUGAGCACUUGCUUAUCAUCAUGAUCUCCAUUUGCAGACAAGAGUACAUAACUCUGUCAACUAUUCUGCCAGAAUUAUGACCCUUUUUGGACUUGAAAAUCAGUUAAAUUUUUCAUACCAGUCUACAUUUUGCCUAACCUGUUUGUGAAAUGGCUUUGAAACUUUUACCACUUGUUUACCAUCAUAAUAUAUGUAUGUAGGCAAGACUACAUAUGGUAACUAGGACAAGGACUUUAGCUCAGUUAUGGCCUUUUUGUGAGAAAGAAAUUUGUUAAGUUUCGCAUGCGAUUCCAUAUUUUGUCUAAACUGUUUGAUAUAUGGCUUUGAAACAUUGAACAGUCUUGCUUACCAUCAUGAUCACAUAUUGCCAUAUAUUGCAAGACUUAUCCAAAUCCACAAAAACAGGUACAUUGUUUGUCUAAUUUAUUUUUCAUCUUUUGUCUGCAAAUCUCUGGUAAUAUUUUGACCCCAUACUUCCAUCAAUUCUUCGAAUAGUCAAGUGCGCUGUCAACAGACAGCUCUUGUUUGUGAAUACUAUAAGAUCUAUUUGCUUUAAAACUUUGUACAUUUCUUUACUAUCAGUAAGUGAGUAAGAAGGUCAAGAACCAUUUAUAACACUUUCUAUUGCAUAUUGUUAAACGUCAAUCAAUUACAGGCAAGGGUAGACACCCGCAGGCGUUUCUGUGGUUCAUACCAAUUUUGACAUAUUUUAAUGAAUGUCUGGGGUAAUUUUGACUAAAAGAAGUUGCUUAAGUGUUAUGAUAGCAUGGUUUUUGAUAACUUUAGAUUCUGACAUUUGAAAGCAGUAUGGGUAAAAAAAGAACAUGUCAGUAAUGUAAAUGCUAUAAUCUAAGGUCAUUUCAUUUGUAACAUUUAUUGUAAACUACACUACUUUCAAGUCAUAAUUUGUAAUGAAUCACAAAAUUUUGAAGUAACAAAUUUAUAUUCAAUUCCUUUUGAUUUUGCAUUAUUUUUGCUGGUGGGUGGGGUAAGUCUAUUUAUAUAGUGGUUUUUUUCUCUAAAAUACAGAAUUGUAUGUUGUUUUUCUAAUGGCUUUUACUUGCAAAUAUUUUAUACUAUCAUAUUUAUAAUCUUGAAACAUGUAACUGAUGGAACAUACUGUUUUCAACUUAACAAUAUGUUAUGUUGUUUUAUGUACCAGCAAAUAUUUAGUUAUUCGUGAAGCGAAGUUGACAGCUAAAGUUAUUGCAUUUUAUAUUUAAAAAAGGUAUAUUAAUACUAUGUAUUGCAUCAAACAUCUGAUAAGAUGUUGUUUUGUCUGUUGAAGUAAGCAGUUGUAUUACUUAAAUGUUUAAAUAGAAAAACAGCCAAAAAUAUGCAACAUAUUAGAUUAAUUUUGGUGCUAACUUCAGCUUUAUUAGACAUUUUUGAUAUUGGUUACCUUGAUAUAGUCUGUCUCGUAAAAUUUUAAAAUGCAUGGUGACCUAUACUUUUUAAUAUUUAUUUCAUUUAUAUAUACAGCUAUCUUAAUUUUUGAAAAGUUUCAGGAAAGUAAAGAAUGUAGAAAGGUCUGUAACUCUUCUUCAAAUAAUCUGGAUUCAUAAUGGUUUCAGUGAUUUAUGUAUAGAUUUUACGAGACAAGAUUUAGAUUUUUGUCAUUUAUCUGCAGAUAACUUCGAUUGAAAUUCAAAUGUUUGUAUUAUUUUUCAAUAAUAUAGUGUUUUGUAGGUCAUAUAACUAUUUGGAAUGGAAAUCACUUGUAAUAUUAGCAAAAUAAAAUUUUGAAAUAUAAA